Molecule: ribosomal RNA, 465 nt
Filed under: uncultured bacterium
Lineage: Bacteria
Description: bacterial SSU rRNA
Rfam family: Bacterial small subunit ribosomal RNA
Source: RNAcentral
CCUACGGGUGGCUGCAGUAGGGAAUCUUCCGCAAUGGACGAAAGUCUGACGGAGCAACGCCGCGUGAGCGAAGAAGGUCUUCGGAUCGUAAAGCUCUGUUGUUAGGGAAGAACAAGUACGGGAGGAAAUGACCGUACCUUGACGGUACCUAACGAGGAAGCCACGACUAACUACGUGCCAGCAGCCGCGGUAAUACGUAGGUGGCAAGCGUUGUCCGGAAUUAUUGGGCGUAAAGCGCGCGCAGGCGGUCUUUUAAGUCUGAUGUGAAAUCUUGCGGCUCAACCGCAAGCGGUCAUUGGAAACUGUCUUACUAGAGUGCAGGAGAGGAAAGCGGAAUUCCUAGUGUAGCGGUGAAAUGCGUAGAUAUUAGGAAGAACACCAGUGGCGAAGGCGGCUUUCUGGACUGUAACUGACGCUGAGGCACGAAAGCGUGGGGAGCGAACAGGAUUAGAUACCCCAGUAGUC